Malurus melanocephalus (red-backed fairy wren) is the source of this 5334-nucleotide long non-coding RNA. RefSeq lists it as uncharacterized. The record is from RefSeq and is a predicted model, not a curated record. The transcript is spliced from 4 exons. NCBI's taxonomy places the organism in Eukaryota, Metazoa, Chordata, Aves, Passeriformes, Maluridae.
CGCCCCCUGGCGGACGGCGGUGGGUGCAGCCCCUCCGUGAGGGGGGAGCUCGGUCCCGCUCCCUCAGCCGGACCCGACCGGCGCAGAGCCAACACCCGACCGGGAAAGUGCCGGAAUGCAGGCGGGACAUCACCGAUAUUCAACCUGACAUGGCCUAAAGUCAACCGAGGCGGUCCUACAGGACACGAGACGGUGCAGAACCUCAGAAGAUAAUGAAAUAUGUUAUGGAAAACUACACUGAAACCAUUCAUCUCUUCAGGAUUAUCAGCAAUGACUGUGGCCUCUCCAGAUCUGGUGAGCAGCACAACAGAGCCAUUAAACCAYUGCUCUUGGAAGAAAAUGGAACAACCACAACCCAAUUAAGUCAGUAAGACUGGGAAAACACCAUGCCAGAAGGAAUCCAUCUCAGCUCUGGGAUGCUUUCACCUUCCUAGCAGAUCUUCCAUCAAAUGCCAGUCUUUAAAGCAUGGAUUCGUGCCUGGAAGGACGAAUUUCCCAUGGAACRCUGCCCUCCAGGAAGGACAGCAAAAGAGAUGGAGGUAAAUGAAGAUGACCUUGAAACACAUUGCUCUGAAAAAAUGACAGGCCUCCCAUGGAGGGAAUAAUGCAGCGGAAUUGCAGCCUCACUCCCAACAGUGGUUGUUGCUAUGGUGAUUGAUACCGAAAAGCCCCUAUAGAUGGAGACUGCAGAAGGAAUAGUAAUUCCUGAUAUUGUUCAAAUCACUAAUGGAGCUGAGGAGCCAUCUCACGCACUCCUGCAAAUUAAUAUUUGCAUGUGCUCGCUGCCUUUGYCACACGCUGCCCUCAAACACAAAUCAGUCAUUUUCCCAUUCUCUGCAGCAGUAUUUGCAUAGUAUUAGUUAAUUAUAACCCAGCAACCAGAUGCCAAAGCCCCUGCUGACAAAUAAUAGUUGGUUCAAAAAUGUAUUUGCUGAUUUAGAAUGUAAUUCCUGAGAAUCAUAUAUUCAUUCCAAGUGGCUUAAUUAUCUGAAAAURGAAUUAAUUAUGACCCCCAAUUUACAGAGAAAAGCAGUUUAUGUACAAAGGUAUGCACACCCUGCGCUGUCUGUCUUUAAUUUUACGUAAGUGCAAUAAGGUUGGAAAUCAUACCUCUGGUCUCCUCAAUUUUCCUUCAAACCAGGAAAGGGUUAGGAAGUUUAUCAAAGGUUCUUCUGGCUAAAUGACUGAAAAUGACCUCAAAAUAAGAAUAAGUUAAUCCAGCAUAGAGGGUUUAAGGGUAAAAUAAAACAGCUUGAAAGACAAAAAUGGAUGGCCAGAAUACCAAAGAUUAAUACUGCCCUGCUUUUUGUGACAAUCCAAGACACCCCAUGGAGAUCUCGUGAGGAUAAAAGCAUAAUUAUUACUCUUUUAUAUUCUGACUGGAAUAUAAUCARCUGAAUCAGAUUGGAGAUGUGUGGUACUAUAUAUUUGGUAGCCAAAAUGUAAAUGGAAAAAAAAAUGCUGGGAUGUGUCUAGUGAGUUUCUUUACUGACUUUGAAAAUUGGAGCCUGUACAGGACAAGCUCACUUCUGUUCCCUUAGACAUGACUUGCUURUUAAAAUGGCAAUUUUACAAAUUACACCAAUUUGGCAAAUCCCUCAGAAACAUCUGAUAAUAGCCUUUAUGCUAACAGCUGCUCUAAUACUAUCACACAAAAUUCUGUAUUUCUGAGGAAUAUAUAAAUGUUCAGCAAGCAGAACAGAGCAUUACUGAGCAGGGCUUCAUCCUGGGACAGUGCACACAAAUCCCAUGACUGCACACACAGACCUCUUGGAUUUGGCAGGAUUCCCCGUAGUUAUGCAUUUUCUGCAUGACCAGGAUUUAACUUUGCCAUUGUAGGGUUUAAAUUACAGAUUACUUUUCCACGAAAAGCCAAUCCAUGCAUGUCACCUUCCAUCCCCAUGGCAGUGUCCCACUCUGUGCUCACCUGCUGACACCGAGACACCACCUACCUGUUUCCCCCAUGGUUUCCUGGCUCCUUAUGUCCAGCUCAGGAGAGACUUCAUUAGAAUCCUAAAAGCCACGCUCCAGUMACAUUGUCAAAUGACAGCACAAUURGUUUUAUUCUUAGAUAAUGUGGGAAAAGCAAGGAAUCCCAACCCAUGGCUCCAUAGCUUUGUCAGUGGUCUGCCACUUUCUCUUUACCCUUACCCGUUCCUAAGCCCAGCAAUGGUACCAGUUUGGCCAGCUGGAAAGCUGAGCCGUUUUCCCAGAGUGAAUUAAGUAAUUUCUAAGUUACUGCAAUAACUCAGCAGGGAAUCCCAGAGGUUGCUGACUCACAGCUCUGAACUCACCUGAGCAGUGAGGGACAGAACAGAGCUCACUUUACAAGCAGUGAGGUCAGUGCCCCAUAAARUUUCAACUUCCACUAAUUUACUUUGCUUGAUGGGAGCUCUCUGUAAGAGGAGAUAUUUCUUCUUAUUGCAGUUGCUUCACUAUUAGCCUUAAACAUUCCCUGCGUUUGGAACAUGCACUAUUAACUCUUCUGGAGCACAGACCAAACAAGGCACGGCUGAGAGCUUUGCCUUCUCAAGCCCCCAGUUUACCCAACCAUGGCUCACAUUUCUCUAGAAACAAUGAUCCAAAGAGAUCUUGAAUGUAGGUUCAAUAACAAUUUAACAUUUGCUUCUGAAAUAAAAUAGUYCACAAGACAACUGAUCUGAAGGGAGAAGAACCUUAAAAAAGAAGCACUAAGGCCACUGGCAGAAUUUGGUGUACCCACAUUCAAGGUUAAGAGCAUAAGCACAUCCUAUAGCAACCAAGACCAUAAAUCCARAACCCUUUGGUGAUUUUGGGGGAGGGAGAGACUGACAGACUGUUCAGAAAACAAAUGUCCCAAUUGUUUUCACAGUUAUGUGUUAUUAGAGGGCCCGGCUAUUAUGUGAUGCAGACAACGUACUUAUGUACCCGCAAUUCCAGAAAAGAAUGGCAAUCAUUUUUGAAAACACAGUAUUAGAUUUUCUACUCAAAUGGAAAAUUUAAUCACUGAGUGACACUCACUGCAAUUAAACCUGUAUGGGUCAUGUGCUGACUGUGCUCACAUUAACAGCAGUGAGAUUUCCAUGGCAUUAGGAUUURCCUGGCAGUUUCUGUGACUUGGGAAUAGAAAGCAGCACUUCCCUGGWUUUGGGCUGAGAUGAAGACUCAGAUGUUCAACAUGAGCAAGUAUUUUAAAGUUAUUGGAACAAAGAAGGGUAAGGAAGUGGUAUUUAUUGUGAGCUAAACUUUUCUCAUUACAUUUAUCAAAAAAAAUUAUUUGCAAAGUAAAAGCAAAGUUAAUCCAACCAUUAUAUCAUCCUCUGUAGGCAAAGAGUGUAUUUCAGCCAYUAAGAUGACUUUCAGAUGCUGUUUUAUCUAUUAAUAUGACUCAUAAACCAACUUCUUUUUUUUUUUCUUUUUCAUCAAGCAUGACAUGGUCCUCUCCUGCGUAGGACUGUGCUCAGUUCAGGGUACUGGUUUUAAUUUAGCCUUCAGAUCAUAUGCUCAGGAAGCAGAACUGUUAAUUAGUGUAACACAUAUGUACUGGUGGCCACUGCAGGAUGCAACUCCUACCCACAUAUCUGCCAUCAUAGCAUCAUCAUUGGCAUUGCCAGCUACAGAAGAUUUCCMUGAAUAAAACUAAACAGAUUCUUGCUUUUUGCAUGAAUAGGCUCAAAAUUAUAGCUGCAUUCUUAGAAGAAAGCACUUCAGGGACAUGAAACACAAUUGUAUUUGGCAAUAAGAGAUGUAAUUUCUUGACUAUUUCAACUCUAGGAGCUCUAACUGUUGAAAGACAGACUACCCAAAAGAUAAACAUAAUUACAGGCCAAUUUUUGCUCCUCUGACAGUAUGAUGUGAGAUAGGAAAGAAGAAUCARAGCUAAAGUGCAGGAAGAGCAGCAGCAACAAUCUCGUGUGGGUGUGCAMAGGUAUCCUGCAGUCCAGCACUAUUAAACUUUAAUUAUCCACAGAYCUUUGUAUCAAGUAGUCCUGUUCCAGAACCCUGUGUACAACGAUCCUUUUGGGUGUGAAGGAUGUGUCUGUGUGGGGCUGUGAGUGUUCUUUGCAUCUCCCCUUUUCCCCAAGCACUCUUUCACAGAAACACUGCAGAAGUUCCACUGCUGGAUUGUCUUGUUUUCAGAUGGUGUUUUCAUCUACUCUGCUUUAGAGAAUCAAUUAUUCAAGGAGCACUGAUAGGGACAAUUUCUCAGUGAGGAGGAGCAGCACAGGGCACCCCCAAGGCCUGCAGUGUGAGCYAGGCCCACUCUGUGCUGGAAGCUCCAUCUGCAGAUGUGCCACACGUCUUCCUUCAGAAACCCAAGCUCAAGAGGCAGCAGCAGGGAAAACAAAUCCAUUUGACCCUCACCUUCUGCAGGUAUAGCCCUUCCACAGCUUGGGCCACAGCUUUAGGGUUUAAUUCUGGAUUUACACAACGACUGCCUUACCUUUACCCUAAGUUCACACACUGUUUAAUUAUGUUUAAUUACUACGAGCAUCCAGUAUAUUAAAAAUGCAACUACUUUCACUUUUCCUGUCAGCAUGUAAUUAAAAGUAACUCCCAAUCUCUUUUUUYCCUUGCCAUUUUGUUCUGAAGGAACCCAGGACAAAUAUGAUUAKGGGCUGAGAUUUUUCCCAAAUAACAAUGGGGAUUUUUCUGCAAAUUACUACUGCUUUUGAAGGAGCUCUAAUACUUUAAGCAGUGAUAAAGUGGCAGCUGUACAUGUUUAAUUUCUGAGAGCCAGGGCAUAAUGCACAAGCAUUAAUCCCUCCAGCUGUCCAGUAAUUAAACAUCAUGUAAAGCCCAGAGGAUAUCAUUGCUGUGCUACUGUAUCUUAUUUACCAAGGACUUGCAUUUGUUAAAUCUAGCAAUUCUUUUUUUCUUGGAAAUAAUUGUAAAUUCUUACACCACAACAAGUGCACUGAAGUUACAGCUACCUUCUAUAAAAUGCAAAGAAUUUCAGACCAGCCAUGUUUCUUAUCAUCGUAAAUAAUGAUAGUAGAUAAAGAUUUCCUUUACAGGCAUGAAUGUGAUACUGUGGGCUUUAACCCUAUUACAAGUGGUGGGUUUCUYAGGGAGAAUACAUGGUAAAAUCUGAUCCUUUGGGUUUGAUGUGCCUCUGAGGUGACUGGAGAACAGCACAUCCCUGUGCACCUGGCCUGUUAAUGAAGGCAGUGAACAGAAUUCCCAACUUUGACAAAAGGUACACAUUCAACAAACUGUAAUGAAAAAUAAAAUCAGUGCUGCAUGAUCACCAAGUUAAAAGGUCUCAGUAGGAUCAAUGGAGAUCUGAAAUGGACUGGGUAAGUAUGGUCAAAUCCCAAAAGGGAGCACUGGAAGCAUGACYCAGAUGCAAAA